This 531-nucleotide ribosomal RNA is filed under the name uncultured bacterium. RNAcentral's name for it is "bacterial SSU rRNA". It matches the Rfam family "Bacterial small subunit ribosomal RNA", at positions 131 to 654 of the family's 1533-position model. The record is from RNAcentral.
UGGUAGUGGGGGGAUAACGGUUCCGAAAGGGACGCUAAUACCGCAUACGCCCCAAGGGGGAAAGCGGGGGAUCUUCGGACCUCGUGCUACAGGAUGAGCUUGCGUCGGAUUAGCUAGUUGGUGGGGUAAAGGCCUACCAAGGCGACGAUCCGUAGCUGGUCUGAGAGGAUGAUCAGCCACACCGGGACUGAGACACGGCCCGGACUCCUACGGGAGGCAGCAGUGGGGAAUAUUGCGCAAUGGGGGCAACCCUGACGCAGCCAUGCCGCGUGUGUGAAGAAGGCCUUCGGGUUGUAAAGCACUUUCAGUGGGGAGGAAAGGGCGCUGGCUAAUAUCCAGUGCAGUUGACGCUACCCACAGAAGAAGCACCGGCUAAUUCCGUGCCAGCAGCCGCGGUAAUACGGAAGGUGCGAGCGUUAAUCGGAAUUACUGGGCGUAAAGCGCGCGUAGGCGGCUUGGUAAGUCGGGUGUGAAAGCCCCGGGGCUCAACCUGGGAACUGCAUUCGAUACUGCUGGGCUAGAGUACGAGAG